Non-coding RNA from Paralichthys olivaceus (Japanese flounder), 2187 nucleotides. The record is from RefSeq and is a predicted model, not a curated record. Lineage: Eukaryota; Metazoa; Chordata; Actinopteri; Pleuronectiformes; Paralichthyidae.
UCCGCAGGUGGUGUUGGAGCACAGAGAAACACAGUCAUGCACCAGUGAUAGCAAAGAAGAAGACGACUGCUGUUUGUUGUCUUCAUGGUCGCCGUCCACAUCGCCUCACCACCCUGUCCUCAUUCCUUCAUCUUUAUCCCUCGCUUGUGCAUUUGUCUUGUUGCUAGUGUUUUGUUUUUGAUCUGUAUUUUUUCUGUUCGUGGAUUUUUCGGAUGUUGAACCCUGCCUCUGAUUAAAGGACACUUUAUGUUAACUCACUACAUUUUUGGGUCCACCUGCUGCUGAAACCCUGGAGCAGUAUGAAGAUAUUUUCAGUUUUUUAACAUUUAAAGAAGAAAUCCCCAGUUACUGCGGUUGUAUUGGAUUUGGCUGCAAUGCUGUUUACUCCUGAAACUCCAAAAGAGUUUAGUGGACUCAAACACUUCACCCACCCCUCCACUGGCAUAGUGAUGGGUGUCACAGUGCAACGCUGUUUCUCCCUGACCACUUGUCUUCCUGACUGGUCUGUGAAGCCUGGCAGAGGAAGACUCUUCACUUUCUGAAAAAAUGCAAGAAGCCUCUGAUGCCUGUGGUCCUCAUUAGUAGGAAUGACUAAAACCAAUGUGGAGCUCAAGGUUGGACUCCUGUGAGGCUGGUGGACUAGGUGAAGAGACUGUCCGUCAACCGAAGGUACACAAUCACUUGUGUGGGCAAAGAGAGCUCUGCUCGAGUGUCCUUGAGCAAGUCACUGAAUAAAGCUGCCAUCACUGUGGCAGAAAGGCAUAUUCGAUGCAGAAUCGCCUUAGGCUGUGGAAACAAUUUACAUUAUGCAGUUUUAGAAUGAGAUAGUAUUUCUUUCCAAUGAAAUCCAACAGGUUUGGAGGAUUUUGAACACUACCUUUGCAUUCCAAGCGCCCUUUGUUUUAUCCGCCCUGUCUCUGAAGGGGUCAAUAUGGUUAAAUUCCAAACACGCACAUCCUUAUUAUAUUGGCAUUGUAAAGGGCUACUACCGACAAGCUUUAAUGACUUUCUAAAAUCAACAUCACAACAUUGCUGGGUGUGUAAUGUGUGAAAAAAGUCGAGUGUAAACCCCUGACCCCUUCUUUCAUUCUUUACACCUAUUUCUGUCACUUUUUUGUGUUUGCACCUAACUGCCACACCAUGAAAGUCUUCAAAGAGAGACUGAGAGUGGAAAUUAGCACUUUGCUUAAUUUGCAGGAUUCAGAAUGACAAGACCACAAAGACCCAACAAAAGCCAGAGAGCUCUUUGAGGGAGAUUAGAGAGCAAACCUUUCUGCUAAAAAUCAUGUUGAUACAGGUUUUCCUUAAAACUCAGCAUAAAAGACACACAUAAGUAUUUAUCAAACUUUUUUUACAUUUAGCAAAAUAUAUUUCUUUAAAAAUCGCAUUUACUCCCACUCACAAAACAGUGAAACAAUAAAUGUAUUCAUCAAACUUCUUGCAUCUCAUAAUUACUACAUUAAUAAGAUAAGAUAUAUAAUUUAAGAGUUCAUGGUUCCUCUUGACGCAGCUAAAACUAUAUCCUAGGUGUCUGAAGCACCAAAGGCAGAAACAGAGGUUAUCUUUUCACCCCCGGCUGUUUGUUUUAUAGGUUGGUUUGUAUGUUUGUCAGCAAGAUUACACAAACACUUGGAGGAAGGGAACCACCAAAGCCCUUAAAUUAUUGUGUGGAUCCAUGUCAGUGGGUAGAUCCAGGGAUAAGGGAAUUUUUUUGUUUUGUUUUAUUUUGACAUUGUCACUGGUUUCCCAGAAAAUAUUUUAUGGAUUCUAAUAAAAUCUAAAUCAGGCAUAUUAAGGGGACUGGCUUCUAUGAAUGUGUGCACUUUGGUGCAGCUGUAUUACAUUUAAGAGGAGUGUUGGACCUUGGGAGUAUGUGCUUGAUAGAGUAAAUUCUAGUAUAAACAAACCUAAAAACCAAUUUGCCAUUUCAUUCUUUUAUACACCUUUGCAUUAUCAUCAACAACAAUGCAGCUGUUUGCUUUAUCUCUGUAAAUACAUUUCCUCAUCAUCCUCAUUGAGAUAUUGGUGAUGUUGCUGACUUAUGUGCCAGCAGCAGUUUAGUUUUAUUUCUAAAUUAGCCAUGUUCCUCUCUUUUAUUCAGGUAUGUGUUACAUUAUUAAUAAAGAUGAUUGACAAUUUUACAUUAAAUUAUAGGCUAAAAUAGGCUGUAUUCUCUACCAAUCUCAC